AACAGGAUUAGAUACCCUGGUAGUCCAUGCCGUAAACGAUGAGUGCUAAGUGUUGGAGGGUUUCCGCCCUUCAGUGCUGCAGCUAACGCAUUAAGUAAUCCGCCUGGGGAGUACGACCGCAAGGUUGAAACUCAAAAGAAUUGACGGGGGCCCGCACAAGCGGUGGAGCAUGUGGUUUAAUUCGAAGCUACGCGAAGAACCUUACCAGGUCUUGACAUCUUCUGCCAACCUAAGAGAUUAGGCGUUCCCUUCGGGGACAGAAUGACAGGUGGUGCAUGGUUGUCGUCAGCUCGUGUCGUGAGAUGUUGGGUUAAGUCCCGCAACGAGCGCAACCCUUAUUACUAGUUGCCAGCAUUCAGUUGGGCACUCUAGUGAGACUGCCGGUGACAAACCGGAGGAAGGUGGGGACGACGUCAAAUCAUCAUGCCCCUUAUGACCUGGGCUACACACGUGCUACAAUGGAUGGUACAACGAGUCGCGAAACCGCGAGGUUUAGCUAAUCUCUUAAAACCAUUCUCAGUUCGGACUGUAGGCUGCAACUCGCCUACGCGAAGUCGGAAUCGCUAGUAAUCGCGGAUCAGCAUGCCGCGGUGAAUACGUUCCCGGGCCUUGUACACACCGCCCGUCACACCAUGAGAGUUUGUAACACCCAAAGCCGGUGGGGUAACCUUUUAGGAGCUAGCCGUCUAAGGUGGGACAGAUGAUUAGGGUGAAGUCGUAACAAGGUAACC
RNAcentral lists this ribosomal RNA (731 nucleotides) under uncultured bacterium. RNAcentral's name for it is "bacterial SSU rRNA". It matches the Rfam family "Bacterial small subunit ribosomal RNA", at positions 771 to 1501 of the family's 1533-position model. The record is from RNAcentral.